This 301-nucleotide ribosomal RNA is filed under the name uncultured bacterium. RNAcentral's name for it is "partial 16S ribosomal RNA". It matches the Rfam family "Bacterial small subunit ribosomal RNA", at positions 509 to 807 of the family's 1533-position model. The record is from RNAcentral.
CAGUAGCCGCGGUAAAACGGAGGGUGCAAGCGUUAAUCGGAAUUACUGGGCGUAAAGCGCACGCAGGCGGUCUGACAAGUCUGUUGUGAAAUCCCCGGGCUCGACCUGGGAAUGGCAAUGGAUACUGGCAAGCUAGAGUGUGUCAGAGGAUGGUGGGAUUCCCGGUGUAGCGGUGAAAUGCGUAGAGAUCGGGAGGAACAUCAGUGGCGAAGGCGGCUAUCUGGGCCAACACUGACGCUGAGGCACGAAAGCGUGGGGAGCAAACAGGAUUAGAUACCCCUGUAGUCCCUGUCUCUUAUAC